GAUGAAGAACGCAGCGAAAUGCGAUAAGUAAUGUGAAUUGCAGAAUUCAGUGAAUCAUCGAAUCUUUGAACGCACAUUGCGCCCGCUAGUAUUCUGGCGGGCAUGCCUGUCCGAGCGUCAUUUCAACCCUCAAGCCCCUCCGGGGGCCUGGCGUUGGGGAUCGGCCCCGCUCCGGCGGCCGGCCCCGAAAUGUAGUGGCGGUCUCGCCGCUGCCUCCUCUGCGUAGUAGAAACACCUCGCAUUGGGACGCGGCGGGCCCACGCCGUUAACCAGAUGAAUUUUUUCAAGGUUGACCUCGGAUCAGGUAGGAAUACCCGCUGAACUUAAGCAUAUUCAAUAAGCGGAGGA
Molecule: unclassified non-coding RNA, 348 nt
Filed under: soil metagenome
Description: partial contains 5.8S ribosomal RNA, internal transcribed spacer 2, and large subunit ribosomal RNA
Rfam family: 5.8S ribosomal RNA (bases 1-120)
Source: RNAcentral